Molecule: long non-coding RNA, 241 nt
Filed under: Homo sapiens (human)
Lineage: Eukaryota; Metazoa; Chordata; Mammalia; Primates; Hominidae
Description: non-protein coding lnc-NFE2L1-5:1
Source: RNAcentral
GUGCAGUGGCAUGAUCCGGUUCACUGCAACCUCCACCUCCCAGGUUCAAGCAAUUAUCCAGCCUUGGUCUCCCGAGUAGCUGGGAUUACAGGUGCCCACCACCAUGCCCAGCUAAUUUUUUUGUUUCCCGAGACUGAGUCUUGCUCUGUCACCCAGGCUGGAGGGCAGUGGUGAGAUCUCGGCUCACUGCAACCUCCACCUCCCGGGUUCAAGCAAUUAUCCAGCCUCAGUCUCCUGAGUA